Molecule: small RNA, 72 nt
Filed under: Pseudomonas baetica
Lineage: Bacteria; Pseudomonadati; Pseudomonadota; Gammaproteobacteria; Pseudomonadales; Pseudomonadaceae
Description: Pseudomonas sRNA P10
Rfam family: Pseudomonas sRNA P10
Source: RNAcentral
CGUCACCGACCCGACCGCCUGCCCAUUGCCAGGCCAUGGCACCAACCCGAUUGCCUCCGGCUCGCCGAACGU